Small RNA from Pontibacillus marinus BH030004 = DSM 16465, 67 nucleotides. It matches the Rfam family "Bacillaceae-1 RNA". NCBI's taxonomy places the organism in Bacteria, Bacillati, Bacillota, Bacilli, Caryophanales, Bacillaceae. The record is from Rfam.
AAACAAUGAAGAUCGACUAAGACCGCCACAUCGUGUGGCAACGUCGACCUACCCCACGUCGUGUGGG